AGGUCAGCACAGGGCUCGAGACAAAGAGAAAUGCAUCCUGAUUUCUCUGCAGCUUUCUGUCAGACUCCAAGUUGCUGAUGACAUAGUUUCAGCCGUUUGUGAAAAACGGGUUUGGGCACACACAAGGGAAGCUCUUCACUAAUCCAGGACUGCUGGUGUGAAUGCAAGAGUCUGUUUACAAUACGGCCUCACACUCCCAAAGUAAGCUAUGUUAACCAGAAACCCAGGAAAACACUGAUGUUGGCUAGCCCGGAAGAUGAUUCACAUCCCCAGAGUGAAAACUACUGCUUAUCCACUCUCAUCUCCAGGCCACAUGCUACUGCAGUCACGUUUCAGUAUUGAUUCAAAAUAUCACUUGCCUCUUUCAUGUGGUUUCCUCCCCAAGAUUUAUCUUCUCAGAAAGGUCAGUUUUGCACCAUAUCUAAGUAUUUCUGAAACUCUGUCUUUCUACCUGGCCGUGAUAUAUUUUUCCUUGUUUAUUUUGCCUCAUGAUGUCUUAUCAAUAAAAACCAAUAGCCCCUGGAAGAGACCUGGCUUGAAGUGGUACAGAGUAGUCAAGCGCUCGUCUAAGGACAUUUUCAUGCAACAGCUCUUUGAGUGUGCUCUGCAGUCCAGGACCGUCGGCAUCCCCUAGAAGAAGUGCAGAAUCUCAACACCUAUCCAGACUUACAGAAUCGAAAUCUCCAUUUUAACAAGAUCCCAAGGUGAUUCAUGUCGUUGGAAUAACUUCCUAAGCCCAAGAUGGAGCUGCUCCUGCCUGGGGUACUGUGUCAGCACUUAAACCUAGAUAACUUUCAUGUCCCUGUAAAUAUUCUGCUUGACCAGAAAUGUAGGAUAUUCUGUCAGCCAACCCCCAAAUGCCAAGCCAACCCUGGGCUUACUUGCUUGCCCCUUCUCACCCCAAACGAGGUUGACCAUACGGCCGCAGCCAAUCAGAUUUUCUCUAUUUUUCUCUUCCAAUUCUUCAUUCUUUACCCUAAGAAACCUUCCUUGCUUCUGCCCUAUUUUGCUAUACUCUCUGGAUGGAGACUGUCCACUUCAUGAAGUGUUAAAUACAGGUUCUUUGUAUCACCUCAA
Molecule: long non-coding RNA, 1077 nt
Organism: Orcinus orca (killer whale)
Lineage: Eukaryota; Metazoa; Chordata; Mammalia; Artiodactyla; Delphinidae
Exons: 2
Source: RefSeq, a predicted model, not a curated record